Molecule: unclassified non-coding RNA, 18 nt
Filed under: Mus musculus (house mouse)
Lineage: Eukaryota; Metazoa; Chordata; Mammalia; Rodentia; Muridae
Description: oocyte_clustered_small_RNA3166
Source: RNAcentral
UGUCAGGGUCAUGGGAGC